AUGAGUGCAAACAAGAGCUAUCGCUCGCACAAAAAUACCGACGGCGAGGUGGACUUUGAAUUCUAUCCAGUAAUACGCAAGUACAAGGACGGCCGUAUCGAGCGGUUCACAAUGAGUUCAUUCGUGCCGGCAUCAGCGGAUCCAGCCACCAGCCAUGGGGUGGCAACAAGGGAUGUCGUCAUCGACCAAGGCACCGGUGUGUCGGUACGCCUGUUUCUUCCCUCCCAAGCCGCCGCGGCGGGCACGAGGCUUCCCCUCGUCGUCUAUGUCCAUGGUGGUUCUUUCUGCACACAGAGUGCGUACUCUCGAACCUACCACCGUUACGCCACCUCCCUCGCAGGAAGCGCAGGGGCGCUCAUCGUGUCUGUGGAAUACCGUCUGGCACCGGAGUAUCCCGUGCCGGCGUCCUACAAUGACACAUGGGCUGCACUGCGGUGGGUGGCCACCUUGUCCGACCCUUGGCUCGCUGAGUAUGCAGAUCCCAGGCGCACGUACCUCGCCGGCGACAGCGCUGGUGGCAACAUCGUGUACCACAUGGCUAUACGCGCCACACAUGAUGACAGCAUCAUGGACAUUGAGGGCUUGGUUAUUGUGCAUCCAUUUCUCUGGGGACUCGAGCGGCUUCCCGCCGAGAAGGUUUCGGACGGUGACGUGAUGUACCCGCCGGCGCUGGUGGACAAGCUAUGGCCAUUUGUGACGGCGGGCCAGGCUGGCAACGACGAUCCCCGGAUCAAUCCUCCGGACGGUGAGAUCGCGUUGCUGACUUGCAGGCGUGUUAUGGUAUGUGUUGCAGGGAGAGACACCUUGCGUGACCGGGGGCGCCGGUUCGCGUCCAGAAUGCGGAAGUGUGGGUGGACUGACCGCAACCUCACCGUGGUGGAGACGGAGGGCGAGGAUCAUCUCUUCCACCUGUACGCACCGCUGCGUGCGACCAGCAAGGACCUUAUGGAUCGUGUUGUGCACUUCAUUAACGAUCGCGCCACGUUGCCAUCACCGAACCAUAGUGAUCCCAGAUCUCUAUGCCGCGCAGCUCUUUAA
This 1038-nucleotide ribosomal RNA is filed under the name Triticum aestivum (bread wheat). RNAcentral describes it as "partial small subunit ribosomal RNA". Lineage: Eukaryota; Viridiplantae; Streptophyta; Magnoliopsida; Poales; Poaceae. The record is from RNAcentral.